UUUUUUAGUUUCACUUUUCUGUAAUUAUAAUAGCAACCAUGUAUCAAACACCUGCUAUAUGCAGGUGUUUACGUCCGUUCUUUCUAACCUGCACAGCAGCCCUGCUGGCAUCAUUAUCCCCAGUUUACUGAGGUCCCAGAGAGUACGUGACUUGUGCAAGGCCCUGGGACCAGUACGCACAGAGCCGGCAUUCAAAGCGAGGUCUGACUCCACAGCCCGCGCUCUGCCCUUCCUUGAGCUGCCUCUGUUCAGGAGGCAAUCACAGGUUCCUGACUGAUACAGUCCACUUCAGUCUGUUCCACUGUCCAUAUGGGAUUUAAUGAAUUCACAACGAAUGUAACCUAUAGAAUCUUAAAAUUUUUUAUAUUUAUUCUUUAUUGAAAUAUAGUUGAUUUACGAUGUUGUGUUAGUUUCUGCUGUACAGCAAAAUGAUUGUUCCCUGUGCUAUACAGUCGGACCUUGUUCAUCCAUCCUAUAUAUAAUAGUUGGCUUCUGCUAAUCCCCAGCUCCCAAUCCAUCCUUCCCCCACCCCUCCUCCCCCUCGGCAACCACAAGUCUGUCCUCUAUGUCUGUGAGUCUGUUUCUGUUUCAUAAAUAAGUUCAGAAUCUUAAAUUUUUUGAACUAAGGUUUGUACUUAGAUCAUUAGUCCUUCAGCUUUAUUUUCUUUUUAAAUUUUGUUUUUACCCAGGUAAUGCUUGUACAUGGUACAGAAGUUCAAAUUUUAACAAUAGGUAUGCAGAGAGGAGUCUCCCUUCCCAUCUCCCACCCGCCCCCGGCCUCCCUAUCCCCAGAAGCAACUGCUGUCACCUGAUUAUCCAUCCAGAGAAGUUCUGUCCAGCAGUUUUCCAGCUGUGUUCUACCUGAGCCCCGGGCUUCCCACAAGUGCAUCAGAAGCCAACAUAGAAGAGAAGAAUGAAGGAGAAAACCCAUGAGGACAUCAAUCCAUCCAUCAGCGAACACCCAAGCCAAGGUCCUUUAGGAACAAAGGACUCCUCCAGACCCGAGCUGAGCCCAUCUGGAGAACGUCCACUGAACCAGACCAGCGACACGGGAAGUCAGGCCUCACAGCUACCUUUCCUGAGCCUGAGCCACC
Kogia breviceps (pygmy sperm whale) is the source of this 1094-nucleotide long non-coding RNA. RefSeq lists it as uncharacterized. Lineage: Eukaryota; Metazoa; Chordata; Mammalia; Artiodactyla; Physeteridae. The record is from RefSeq and is a predicted model, not a curated record.